Molecule: long non-coding RNA, 395 nt
Organism: Dendroctonus ponderosae (mountain pine beetle)
Lineage: Eukaryota; Metazoa; Arthropoda; Insecta; Coleoptera; Curculionidae
Exons: 2
Source: RefSeq, a predicted model, not a curated record
GGAAAAUAAUGAGAAACAAAGCACGUUAAAAAGCGUCGUUUGUCAUUUUUUUAAUAAUCACUUUAUGGCCAUUGUCAAGUUCAAUUUAUAUUUCGUGACGGGGUUAAAAUGUUUUCUUUUCGUUGAAUAUCAACCUUUCCAUUAUCAAGCUGACUCCAAUAAGCUCUUGGGCUAGACUGUAAAGGAACAACUUAACGCAAGAUCAAAAAACCGUUUUAAAAUUUCUCGCAGUUUCGUCUUCAACUGCAGCUGGCGAAAAGAUCAGGACAAGCAGAAUAGAUGAAUAGAUGAAUAGAUGAACAUCAAACGUUUCUACCAUCUCCAAACAGUAAUCAAACAAUGUAUUUUGACUCUUUAGCUUAUGAUAAACCGAAUUAAAAUAUAUUUUAAUCAUG